This is a non-coding RNA of Lolium perenne, 510 nucleotides long. Lineage: Eukaryota; Viridiplantae; Streptophyta; Magnoliopsida; Poales; Poaceae. The record is from RefSeq and is a predicted model, not a curated record.
UUUUCCCUCUCCUUAAGAUGCCAGGAGACCUACCAGAAACCUAGCUGCCUCUUCCUCCUCCCCAAGCCGCCGCCACUCCCCAUCUUUUCCUGAACGUUAGAGAAAGGUUUCUGCCCGGAGUCUCGUCGAUCACCGCCGUCGCCAUGGCCUCCGGCGAGCCCACGUGAGCUGGGGAAUCGGUUCCUCUCUUCCUCCUCUACGUCCUGGACGUCGUCACGGAUCCGGAGACGCCAAGCCUGCCCGCGAGCAUCCACUUCUGCAUCAUCUACCCCGGCCAACCUUCUUCCUCUUCGCCGGCGAGCUCCUCCGCCGCUUCCUCCUCUUCAACGGCAACCCCAGGACGCCGACGCAGAGCAGUACGAGCAGGAGUACGAGUUCCCCCUGGAGGAUCGUGUCGGUGCUUCUACCUCUGAUCUGACAGGCGAGCCCACCCCUUCACCUAUUUUACUUUUACAUGCUCUUUUGAUCUAUUGCUAUCCUUAUGUUGCGAUUCUGUUGUGUCACGUGUCC